This 495-nucleotide ribosomal RNA is filed under the name uncultured bacterium. Its description in RNAcentral is "partial 16S ribosomal RNA". It matches the Rfam family "Bacterial small subunit ribosomal RNA", at positions 28 to 507 of the family's 1533-position model. The record is from RNAcentral.
GAUGAACGCUGGCGGCGGGCCUAAUACAUGCAAGUAGAACGCUGGAGGGGGAGCUUGCUCUUCUGGAUGAGUUGCGAACGGGUGAGUAACGCGUAGGUAACCUGCCUGGUAGCGGGGGAUAACUAUUGGAAACGAUAGCUAAUACCGCAUGACAACAGUUAUUGCAUGAUAACUGUUGAAAAGGGGCAACUGCUCCACUACCAGAUGGAGCUGCGUUGUAUUAGCGAGUUGGUGAGGUAACGGCUCACCAAGGCGACGAUACAUAGCCGACCUGAGAGGGUGGUCGGCCACACUGGGAAUGAGACACGGCCCCGACUUCCUAGGGGAGCAGCAGUAGGGGAUCUUCGGCCAUGGACGGAAGUCUGACCGAGCAACGACGCGUGAGUGGAGGAGGUUUUCGGAUCGUUAAGCUCUGUUUUAAGGGAAGAACGAGUGUGAGAGUGGAAACUUCACACUGUGACGGUAUCUUAACAGAAAGGGACGGCUAACUACGUG